AAUAUUAUAAUGCAACAAUGAAGGGGGUAAAACAGUCAAAUCAAGUAAAAACAUACAAGUACAUAUUUCAUCGAAGAAAAUGUUGGUUGUUAUAAAUUUUGUGUUAGAAUUUGAAUACUUGGUGACAACACUGAGAAUUUUGUAGCUUUCUUGAAACUCUUGUGUUAGAAUUUGGAUACUUGGUGACAAGACUUUCUGAUUUUGGUAAAUUCUUUGGUGAAUCUUUUCUGUUGGUUUUUGUUCUGUGAUGGCGGUGAAGACUAAUGAAGUUGUCGAAGGCUUUCUGGCGGAGAAAUUGAUGAAAUUGCUUCUAUCUUUAGCUAUAAAAUGGGGGAUUUGCUGGAUAUGAAGAACUUGAAAGUUCACCAUUUUAGUGGUGCUAUGACUAAUGAGGUUUAUAGGAUAAAUUGGCCUACUAAGAACGAAAACGUCUCGAGGAGAGUUUUGGUUUGAAUGUAUGGUAAGGGCAUCAAGGUUUUCAUUGAUAGGGAUGAAGAGAUUAGAACUUUUGAGUCCUUGUCAAAGAAGAGUCAAGGACCUAAUCUUCUUGGUCAAUUUGCAAAUGUUAGAGUUAAGGAGUUCAUUCAUGCAAGGGAGCGACACUUAUCCAGGAGGUUAUUAGUUGAGCCCGACGCUGAACAUUAUUUGGGUUGUUGAAUUGUAUGGGAAACUCCUAAUCGUGACAACUAUUUUUGAUCUAUUGCAACUUACAACUAAGACAAACAAGUUAGCUGGUGAUGGUAUGGGGAGUACUAGAUAGUCAAGCAUUCUCACGUUCAGAAGAUGUAAGUGGCGAAAAUGAGAUGUUGAGAAGGGUAUGUGGGUAUAGUAGAAGUGAUAGAAGAAUUGCUAGCUGUCAAUUUUGGGGCUAACCCUGUAUAUAUGAAGAAAGGUAUGGAUCAAAACAGUAAUACAGUAAGAGAGCUGGUAAAAUUUUUUGAGGCUAACUUGCUUUAUUCUCUAUAUUUAUUCAACUCAGAAAAAUUCUCAUUCACUUAAAAAUUCAAGGCUUUAUUCUCUCUCUCCCCCUCUCUUCUUACUAUUUGUAGCCGUAGCUUCAAUAUAAACUGGAAAUGAUGAGUUCAUUGGUAGUUUGAUUGCUGAGGCAAUUAAGAAGAUUGGUCCUGAUGGAGUGAUAUGUGUUGAGUCUUUCUCAUCAGCUGCAGGAAGAUCAAUUCCUCAAGUUGUGACUGAUAGAGGUAAUUCUAUUAUUUAUAAUGUCCGCUACCUACUUGACUUUUCCAAGCUCAUGGUAAAAGGAUAAAAGAAAAGGUAUGAGAUCAAAGGUUUGUUCCAACUUCUUUGGCUUUUGCCACCUUUUUUUGUAAAUUUGUUGUCAUGAAAAUGGGGCGCGGUGAAAGUUGAUCUCAAAACAUAAUCAACAUCAUUAUAAUUAUUGAAUCCUAGAGUUGUGAGAUUUGUCUUCAUUGGUUAUAUGACAUCACAAAAUAUGGUAGGCCACGCUUUUGGAGCCUCCAAAAUUCGUAACUUGAAAAAAAAAUUAGCACGAGAACAAAAGAUCAAAGCAGAUAGAUUACAUGCUUCAGUAAAAUGGGGUGGCAACAACUGUCUACAGUUUUUUUGAGCUCUUUGGCUAUACUGGACUUUUCAAUUUGCUGCUUCUUUUUUUGAUGAUGUAUGGAGUAAAUUAUGAUCUAAUCAUGGUUAAUCUUUGUCCUUUUUUCCCUCCUUAGAAUGUUCAUGUUUAAUAGAAGUGGUCAAGGAGAAGUGUAUAACCCAAGCUACAAACAAAAGGAGAAUGGCUUUGAUGUUCCUCAUGACGAAUAUUUCCAUAAGCAUAUGCUAGCAUGUCUAAUUCUUUUUUGAAAGGCAAUGUUCAAGUAACAGUAGAAGAGGAGCAAUAUGUUGGGGAAUUAUAGAUAAUAGAUGUACAAAUCGUUCAAAUUAAAAAACGUAGAAAGAAGAUUGCUUUCCUUA
Long non-coding RNA from Capsicum annuum, 1938 nucleotides. RefSeq lists it as uncharacterized. The transcript is spliced from 2 exons. The record is from RefSeq and is a predicted model, not a curated record. NCBI's taxonomy places the organism in Eukaryota, Viridiplantae, Streptophyta, Magnoliopsida, Solanales, Solanaceae.